Molecule: ribosomal RNA, 500 nt
Filed under: uncultured bacterium
Lineage: Bacteria
Description: bacterial SSU rRNA
Rfam family: Bacterial small subunit ribosomal RNA
Source: RNAcentral
GAGACUGAUCGGCCACAUUGGGACUGAAACACGGCCCAAACUCCUACGGGAGGCAGCAGUAGGGAAUCUUCCACAAUGGACGCAAGUCUGAUGGAGCAACGCCGCGUGAGUGAAGAAGGUUUUCGGAUCGUAAAGCUCUGUUGUUGGUGAAGAAGGAUAGAGGUAGUAACUGGACUUUAUUUGACGGUAAUCAACCAGGAAGUCACGGCUAACUACGUGCCAGCAGCCGCGGUAAUACGUAGGUGGCAAGCGUUGUCCGGAUUUAUUGGGCGUAAAGCGAGCGCAGGCGGAAAAAUAAGUCUAAUGUGAAAGCCCUCGGCUUAACCGAGGAACUGCAUCGGAAACUGUUUUUCUUGAGUGCUCAACAGGAGAGUGGAACUCCAUGUGUAGCGGUGGAAUGCGUAGAUAUAUGGAAGAACACCAGUGGCGAACGCGGCUCUCUGGUCUGCAACUGACGCUGAGGCUCGAAAGCAUGGGGUAGCGAACAGCAUUAGAUACCC